This 465-nucleotide ribosomal RNA is filed under the name uncultured bacterium. RNAcentral describes it as "partial 16S ribosomal RNA". It matches the Rfam family "Bacterial small subunit ribosomal RNA", at positions 28 to 507 of the family's 1533-position model. The record is from RNAcentral.
GACGAACGCUGGCGGCGUGCUUAACACAUGCAAGUCGUACGGUAAGGCCCUUUCGGGGGUACACGAGUGGCGAACGGGUGAGUAACACGUGAGUAACCUGCCCACAACUUUGGGAUAACGCUAGGAAACUGGUGCUAAUACUGGCUAUGUGCUCCUGCUGCAUGGUGGGGGUUGGAAAGCUCCGGCGGUUGUGGAUGGACUCGCGGCCUAUCAGCUUGUUGGUGGGGUAGUGGCCUACCAAGGCGGCGACGGGUAGCCGGCCUGAGAGGGUGACCGGCCACAUUGGGACUGAGAGACGGCCCAGAAGCCGACGGGAGGCAGCAGGGGGGAAUAGUGCACAAGGGGCGCAAGCCUGAUGCAGCAACGCCGCGGGCGGGAGGACGGGCUUCGGGUUGGAAACCGCUUUCAGCAGGGACGAAGCUUUUUGUGACGGUACCUGCAGAAGAAGCACCGGCUAACUACGUG